AGCCCGCUCGCCGGAAGACCAAGGGUUCCUGUCCAACGUUAAUCGGGGCAGGGUGAGUCGACCCCUAAGGCGAGGCCGAAAGGCGUAGUCGAUGGGAAACAGGUUAAUAUUCCUGUACUUGGUGUUACUGCGAAGGGGGGACGGAGAAGGCUAUGUUGGCCGGGCGACGGUUGUCCCGGUUUAAGCGUGUAGGCUGGUUUUCCAGGCAAAUCCGGAAAAUCAAGGCUGAGGCGUGAUGACGAGGCACUACGGUGCUGAAGCAACAAAUGCCCUGCUUCCAGGAAAAGCCUCUAAGCAUCAGGUAACAUCAAAUCGUACCCCAAACCGACACAGGUGGUCAGGUAGAGAAUACCAAGGCGCUUGAGAGAACUCGGGUGAAGGAACUAGGCAAAAUGGUGCCGUAACUUCGGGAGAAGGCACGCUGAUACGUAGGUGAAGUCCCUUGCGGAUGGAGCUGAAAUCAGUCGAAGAUACCAGCUGGCUGCAACUGUUUAUUAAAAACACAGCACUGUGCAAACACGAAAGUGGACGUAUACGGUGUGACGCCUGCCCGGUGCCGGAAGGUUAAUUGAUGGGGUUAGCGGUAACGCGAAGCUCUUGAUCGAAGCCCCGGUAAACGGCGGCCGUAACUAUAACGGUCCUAAGGUAGCGAAAUUCCUUGUCGGGUAAGUUCCGACCUGCACGAAUGGCGUAAUGAUGGCCAGGCUGUCUCCACCCGAGACUCAGUGAAAUUGAACUCGCUGUGAAGAUGCAGUGUACCCGCGGCAAGACGGAAAGACCCCGUGAACCUUUACUAUAGCUUGACACUGAACAUUGAGCCUUGAUGUGUAGGAUAGGUGGGAGGCUUUGAAGUGUGGACGCCAGUCUGCAUGGAGCCGACCUUGAAAUACCACCCUUUAAUGUUUGAUGUUCUAACGUUGGCCCCUAAUCGGGGUUGCGGACAGUGUCUGGUGGGUAGUUUGACUGGGGCGGUCUCCUCCUAAAGAGUAACGGAGGAGCACGAAGGUUGGCUAAUCCUGGUCGGACAUCAGGAGGUUAGUGCAAUGGCAUAAGCCAGCUUGACUGCGAGCGUGACGGCGCGAGCAGGUGCGAAAGCAGGUCAUAGUGAUCCGGUGGUUCUGAAUGGAAGGGCCAUCGCUCAACGGAUAAAAGGUACUCCGGGGAUAACAGGCUGAUACCGCCCAAGAGUUCAUAUCGACGGCGGUGUUUGGCACCUCGAUGUCGGCUCAUCACAUCCUGGGGCUGAAGUAGGUCCCAAGGGUAUGGCUGUUCGCCAUUUAAAGUGGUACGCGAGCUGGGUUUAGAACGUCGUGAGACAGUUCGGUCCCUAUCUGCCGUGGGCGCUGGAGAACUGAGGGGGGCUGCUCCUAGUACGAGAGGACCGGAGUGGACGCAUCACUGGUGUUCGGGUUGUCAUGCCAAUGGCACUGCCCGGUAGCUAAAUGCGGAAGAGAUAAGUGCUGAAAGCAUCUAAGCACGAAACUUGCCCCGAGAUGAGUUCUCCCUGACUCCUUGAGAGUCCUGAAGGAACGUUGAAGACGACGACGUUGAUAGGCCGGGUGUGUAAGCGCAGCGAUGCGUUGAGCUAACCGGUACUAAUGAACCGUGAGGCUUAACCUU
Molecule: ribosomal RNA, 1620 nt
Filed under: Escherichia coli
Lineage: Bacteria; Pseudomonadati; Pseudomonadota; Gammaproteobacteria; Enterobacterales; Enterobacteriaceae
Description: bacterial LSU rRNA
Rfam family: Bacterial large subunit ribosomal RNA
Source: RNAcentral